Non-coding RNA from Anas platyrhynchos (mallard), 1136 nucleotides. The record is from RefSeq and is a predicted model, not a curated record. NCBI's taxonomy places the organism in Eukaryota, Metazoa, Chordata, Aves, Anseriformes, Anatidae.
AGACGUUUCUGUCAGUGUUUGCCUCAGGGCGCCGCGAUGGCGGGUCGGGAGCGGGAACUGAGGGGGGAAGGGGGUCGGGGGAAGCUCUGUGAGGUGAAAUCUUCUUCAGAAAGGAAAAAAAAAAGGUCUGGGAUUCCUGCGAUUUGCCCAUGCGUUGUGCGCCUAGGCACCAAAGCUGUAGAUUUGCUAAAGCAUCCUGGCAUAUUCUGGAUAACGUUUUUAGCCAGAAAGAAAUCUGAAACGUUACUUCUGAAAAGUGCAGUUCUCCACCUGAGGGCAGCUCCAGCAUUUCCGAAGUGAUCAUAAAGAGGCUCUGCACCAUCAGACAGAAGAGGCCUGGUUUACUCAGCUGCUCCCCUUCAGGAGCAGCUCCACACCUCUGAUCAUCCCUGCUGCUGCAAUUCUCAACGUUAUUCAGUUGCAAUGUGUCGAUCUGAGGAUGAAGGGGCUGGAACUACAAACAGUAUUCAAGAGUGAGAAUUUUUAUUGAUCCAGCGAGUCAAUGGCACAGCUGUUAGAUGACACCGUACUUAAACAAGGCCAGAGAGCAUCUCUCCGAUUCAAGAAGUGCACUUCAAAGCUGCUGCUAUUCAGGAAAGGAAUAUCAACGCACCUUCAGGAGCUAAGCUUGAGCAACACAAAAAAGUGUAAUCUUACCCUCAAAAGUGUCAACCAUUCUGAAAAAUGCAAGAGAGAAGGAGGAUUUUCCACUGCCUGUUCGGCCGCAGAUCCCGAUCUGUGACACAGAAAGAAGAUGAACAUCAGGUUCUGGAUUUGGAUCUCGCCUCUGUCUGGCCAGUUCUGGGGAAUCUGCGAGGAAGCUGUACCAGGAGCACAGAAGAACAAAUACAACCACCCUCUCGUGAUGAAUUCAUCAUCUCAUUAAGUAAUUUACUGAGUUAUUCAUGGUAAUAGACUGCAAAAUCAUUAGUAUUUCAGCAAGCUCUCUCUGCAUGCUGCACAAAACUGCACUUACAAAGGAGCCCUUCAUAAUUUUCAGCUUCUGUUUUGAGAAGGCCAUGGAUUCUUUUCACUGCACCCAGCUGGAUCUCCAUAUCAGCCAGGUUACGAACCAUCCAAUUCAGAUAGUUAGACACCUGAUGUAAAGCAAACAAACUCCUAAAUUCCAGGUUUUU